CGUACCGGAUUAGCGAAAUCAGCGAAUGGCGGAUUGAUCGCUGGCGCUGUGCUUUCUUGCGAUUUUAUGUUUUGCUGAAGAAAAAGAUACCAAGUUUUUGAUUCAACUUUACCAAGCCCUCGUGUUUCUGAUCGUGAUCAACCAACAUGGCGCGCGGCCAACAGAAGAUCCAAUCCCAGCAGAAGAACGCCGAGAAAAUGGCCAAACUGAAGAAGGGGACCAGUCAAAAGGCUUCAGCCGCCAAGGCACUCACCUACACAUGCACCGUCUGCAAAAGUCAAAUGCCGGAUCCCAAGACCUACAAGCAACACUUCGAGAGUAAGCACCCCAAGAGCCCCCUGCCUGCUGAACUGCAGACCGCCAGCGCGUGAUGACAGGCAUUCCUAGAUACAACAGCAAAAGCAACAACAGUCUUCUGAGGUUCAUCACAUAACAUCAUGACACCAGGACGCCAGUGGCCAAUGCCCCCUCGGCCUAACAGAGCAUGACACCCCUGAAUAUACAAUGGAAUCUUCCAUGGUACAGCCUUUAUCAUAUCAGGUUUUCCCACAAUUUUUGAGAAACUGUUUCUUCAAUUUUACUUCUUUUGAUCAGUUUGGCCAAGUCUUAAAAAAAACACAACUUCCUGAAACCUGAAAAAUGAAAAGACUCCAAUUCCACUUGUGAUAGUGUAAAUAUUAAUUAAUCGGAUUUCUUACUUACGGAUGAUUGUGUAGAAAAUCAGUUUUCAGAAUCUGCUAUGAAAGUAGUUGCCUGUGUAGGUUUUUUUUUCUCUCUUGUUUUAAAGUAUGCAUCGUAUUUAUUUUGAUUCAUCAUGUUUAUUUCAUUGUAGCAUUCCAUUGAAAUGUAUCUUUGGUAUGAAGAUUUAGUCAACAAAAAAUGAUACUGUAGAGAAGAAACAUACACUUAGCUUAUGUGACAAAUUGUUUUUGCAGUGCCAAAACAGUUUGUCUCAAAAACUAAGGGUAUUGAACACAAAGACAGGCAUAACCCUUCGGGCAUGUGUACUGAAGCGUAGUAAGAAAUAUAUUGCUGUCAAGUUUUGGGGGAUCCUUACUCCCAUAAUUACCUCAGAAUUUUAUAACAAAAAUUCGCUUUUAAUGCAUUGAUUAUCCAGAUAAGAUACCUGUAUUAAGUGUUCAUUAGCCACUUUUAUUUUUGGUUCUUAAACCCAACUUUCUACUUGGGAGACCUGUCCGUCAAAAUCCAUCACCGACUCUGCUUCACAUAAUGCUUCAGGACCAAAUCCGUUGAAAUCCACCACUGGUGCUGGUGGAUUUUGAUGGACUUGGUACAUGUGGCUUUUCUGCUAAUAUCUCCCAAAAUUGGAGGGGGGGGGGGGACGACAGAUUUUGAUGGAGUUGCUAAGGGUUAAAGGUCAGUUGUAAACCACCCUUGUUUUCCUUAACAUCUUUUCCUCUUUUAUCUUUUGUUUUGGUGGCAUCCAUUGACUUUUAUUUUUUCCUCGCAUUCUCUGAGAAUUUAGCAUAUUUCAAUUCUUUACAUUUUUUUAAUUCUGUCCUGCAGUUAAUUUCUCCAAACAAUUUCAUGUUGGAACAAACUGUACUUUUGACUUUGUACAUGUGUGGCUUUACGAUAGAGAACAGACACACAAAGGAAAAACAAAAGAUCCUUUCAGUCCUCGAGCGUUGGGUCUUUUGUUGGAAACUGUCCUUGAUCCUAGAGUUAUGUGCUUCGUCUAUGGGAGAGUGUUAUAUUACAGGGACAAAGAGAAACACAAAGCAUUGUCCUCAGGCGUAUAGAAAUUCACGACUGUAUGUAUGUAUGUACAUGUUUGAAUGGAUCGAAGAGAACACAAUGCUUGUCAGUGUGUGUAUUCUACAAUGUAACAAGUUUUAUAAUAUUAUUCUAUUGUUUUUGGUGCAUUUUUAUUUCAAGCACAGCGUAAUUAAGAUCGAGACGAAACUGCAAAUCUGUUGACUUUUUCUUUGAUGUAGUUACGUAUUUUUUGGCUGGCCCCCAGGUUUAGUUUAGUGACGGAUAUAUAACCAUGAUUGACCAUGUUACAUUAUUUUACAUUGGAAAUAAAAGAACGUUUAUAUUAA
Molecule: unclassified non-coding RNA, 2066 nt
Filed under: Patiria miniata (bat star)
Lineage: Eukaryota; Metazoa; Echinodermata; Asteroidea; Valvatida; Asterinidae
Description: zinc finger protein 706-like, transcript variant X1
Source: RNAcentral